GCCGGGAGCGCGCGGUGGACUCGGCGGCGGCGAGUAGUUAGUUAGUUGUUGUUAGUCAGUGUCAGUUGCUCGGCGGCGGCACCGGCGGUCACCAGGAAGGGUACGGGACGGUCGGCGAAGGUGGUCACCGCGGCGGCGUGUAAGCCCCUCAGGUGCUGGGCUCUAGCUGUUUGUGUUGAAACCUGCCAAAUCAUACUCUUUUGUUGGAUGGUUUAGUUGAGUAAUUUAGGAACCAAACUGUGGCCCCUGGCAAGGCAAGUUGAGUUCAAGGCUCCAUAUCACUGCUGCAAAUUCCUGUUUUCACUGUAAGAGGUGUGUAUGAUGAGCCUUAUUUUCUUAUUACUGUUCUCUUUACUGUAAUUCCUGCUUCCUA
RNAcentral lists this long non-coding RNA (373 nucleotides) under Moschus moschiferus (Siberian musk deer). Its description in RNAcentral is "lncRNA (ENSMMSG00000020158.1)". The record is from RNAcentral. Lineage: Eukaryota; Metazoa; Chordata; Mammalia; Artiodactyla; Moschidae.